Bombus terrestris (buff-tailed bumblebee) is the source of this 539-nucleotide long non-coding RNA. RefSeq lists it as uncharacterized. The transcript is spliced from 2 exons. Lineage: Eukaryota; Metazoa; Arthropoda; Insecta; Hymenoptera; Apidae. The record is from RefSeq and is a predicted model, not a curated record.
CUUUCACCUGCGACACAAUCCAAACAUCGUACAUUGUUAAAACGAAUUAAAUUUGUUAUUCUAUAAGUUUGAACAUUGAAAAGAUUAAGAAAUAUUGUAUUGUACAAAAUUAUGUCAUAUACCUGUAAUAUAUUACGAACAUAUUAUAUACGAUCAUAUUCAUAAUAAUAAACAUCGUCUCGCUACUUGGCAUUGAUAGGUGAUUGAUAGGUGAUUAAAAACUUCAAGUUGCAAAGAUGAGGCUCUUUAAAAUUUACAAAGAAAUUUAAGGACGUUAGAAGGCUGACUUCGCGCGAGAUGUGUCACUGCGUGUUUGCGAAAGCAAUACGAUCUUCCACUUAUAGCGUCACAAAACAACUGAAAAUGAGCCAGUAUCGUAAAAAUAAGGCCAAGGUAAUAGCGGCCUAUACCACCAGCAAUACCAAGCAACGUAACGAUAUGUUAGUACAUUAUUGUAAAUACAUUUUAUUUGAUCCAUUCGUCGAUCGAUAAAAGUCAACAAAGAAUUCGCUUAAUGUGAAUUCCUGUAGGUGCGAAAA